AGGUGAUCUGCCGUGAUUGUAUAUUGUUGCAGUAUUAAUCCAUGUUUUUUAUGUAUUAUAUGUUGUGUUGAUGCUAUUUAAGGACAAAUUUAACAUGUUAUUCCACGAACAAAUCUGAAAAAAUGAGUUUGUCAGAGCUUAAGAAAAUUACAGCAAAUAUUUGAUACCGGUAGUCAAAGAGAUUCUCUAAUUGAAGAUGUUACAUGAGAAAUCGUAUUGGUUUAUAAUCCUGAAAAUAACAUAGAAAUCAUCCUUAAAUAGCCAAUAAUUCCAUUGAUUUUCAAUAUCAUGCUACUUUUGUGAUGACAAAGUGUGGUGAUUUGUAUAUCUAUUAAUACUUAACUGUAAUGGGCGAUAUACAGCUAUAGCUCUUGUUGGGGCAAUAUAUCAUUAUAUGAUGUACCCUGUAUACUUAUAUUAACCUUACAAUGUUAUUGCAUUAUCAUCUAUAGUCUAUAAGGUAACUCUACAUAGUCUAUUGUGUUUUUGAGGCAUCCCGCAUACAAAUCUUGUAUGUGAAAAAAGACAUUUUUGAAACAUUUCAAGAGAUAUUUGUCAAUUUCAUCAGUUUCAAGGAUUGAAAACCGAAUUGUCGCUGGAAAAAAGGAUUUUCAUUCUUUUGCAGCUGAAAACAGUCACCCUUAAUAUUUACUUUCGAAAAGUGCAGUCUGAAGAAGUGUAUGAUAAGGUCCUACAAGUUUGGGACGUGUCUGUCAAUCAAAAUUGAUACCUUUCAGAAGUGAAAGAUAAGGUGAAGACUUUUGGAAAGUUUAUUGCUGGGGUAGACAUGUUUAUUUGUUAAGAAAAUGGCCGACACUGACAGGGAUAACUUCUCUUACAAAUCUGUGUGUUCCUAUUGAAAUGUCUUCACGACAACAGUUGUUUUCUAAAAAUAAAAGUCGUAGGACAUUUGAGUGCUACUGGAACAGAUCUGUAGCAGCAGUUUAGAUAUAACAUCUAGUUAAACUAGAGAUUUUUGUGAUGAGGACGAGUCUUGUGUAGAAGUGAUUAUGGCGGUUAUACUGUACCGUGCUUACCUCGGUUUCCAUUGACCAGCUGUAUGUGAUCCAGUUGAUCAGAUCUAUAUUCAUGGUAGACGAGUUAAUACUGUAAAGUUAUUUAUUUUGGCACACUUACUUUUAGCGCAAAACUAAAUUUCAACAGAUUUGGCGAAUUGAUAUAUCGACACAACCACAGUACAUGUGUAGAGAAUGUACAGAAACUUCGAUUAACUCAGACAUGAUUUAGCGGAAGUCUUAAACGCGAAAAGUGCUAAAAUAACAUCACCGCAAAAAUCUAUAAAUUUACAGUAGUUUCUCAUUACUAUGGUAAAUUUGUUUUAAUGUGUAUGUGAUUUUUGAAAUGGGUAUCAAGUUACAAGUUCAAAGGUAUUGUGUUUUUACACAGAGCCGGAGCACUGUACAGUAUAUUAACUGAUGUUAUUGACAAUGUAAAAUUCUCUUUGACUUUUAAUACUUUGUCGAAGUAACAAUGAAAUGGUAAUAGACUGUCAGGAUUGAUGAAUAAGUGCCACACAAAUUUUCAUUUAAUAGUUGAGAACUUAUCCAUUAUGUCAAAUUCAGCUUUACAGCUAUAAUAGACAUUCAGACGAUGCUUUGGAAGAUGUUGGUGAUACAAUUCAUUUUCUGUUUGUUUGGAUGAGAUUGUAUUAUCCACUGUUAAAAAAACUAGAAAUCUAACAUUGGUUAUAUACAUCUGUAUAUCAGCCAUUUUGCUUCAUACUUGGUGUAUAGACUUCACCAAUAUAACAUUGACAGGUACAAGGUUUUUUUUUCUGCAGUUUUAAUUUUUGUUUUGGCAAAAUUGAUUUUAAAUGGUUGUGGUUUAUGCAAUUGUAAAUGUUCAAUGUCUGCUUGCCCUAGACAACAUUUCCUUUUCACAACGGCUUGAACUAUAACAGGAUAGGCUGUUGCGACAAAGCAUUACAUACAUUAACACGGUAGGAGUCGCAAUGGAGCUUUGCGUGUGAUACAGUAGGGUGAGCUGAAGGCUGGCCAUAUAGAUACCUCGGACUUUUUAAAUUGUCUAGUCAGCCCUGCAAUCUUUUGACAAAACAUUAUUUCAGUGCCAAGACGCCAGUACAACAAAGUGAUUCAAUAAAUGUACAGAUGAGAUUUGUAUAGGUAACACGUGUUACAAUUGUAAAAAAGAAAAAAAAUACAGUGGAGUUACUUCCCUUGCAUAUGAAAUUAAGAAAGAUAGAUGUAAAAAAUCAGAUGUAAAUUAUAGUAAAUAGGGAUUAAACUCCCAUUAUGAAAUCUGCAAAAUAUUGAUAGUGAAUCAACUUUUUGUGUGAAGAUAUGUUUAUAAAAUGUCUUUCCAAAUAUAUUGGUGUACAUUAUUGAAAACAGGGUUUGUGGAAAAAGCCAUGUGAAUGAGGUUAUGAGAUAUUUUCUUAUUUAUUUAUUUGUAAUAUUUUUUUUUCAAUUUCGUAACUUUUGCUACCUAGCCCAUUGCUGCCUAGUUGUGUAGAUACCAAAUGCUUGUACAUGGAUUUGUUUUUGUUACGGUAGAUUUUGUUAAUAAGACAAUAUCAGGAGAAUAUUACUGGAGAUUUGGUCUGUGACCCAGAGGUCAAUAAUAAUGACCCCUGACCUCUUAUAUUACUUUAUAGAAUCAUGAUUUACUUACCUCAGAGGUCAAUUAAAUUUUCUGCAUAUCUUGUUAUUGAAAUGCAUGGGUGAAUUAUAGCUGAAAGUUUGAUAUGUUUAAAUGUUUUUUUGCUUAAAAUUGCAUACUACCAUGUUCAAAGACGAAGUGUAAACAACUGCACAGGUGAUAUGUGCCUAACUUAGUGAACAGGGGAAGACGGUAUGAUGUUGAAAAUCCUAGAGACAGAGUCUGAAUGAUCCAUUAUCACUCUCCCAGAUAUCUGCGUGUUUAAUCUGCAAUCUUCAAUAUUUACGUCUCGGUUGCUUUAAUAAAUGUAGCUUUAUUAUGGAAUGAUGUUCAGUACCAGAUUUUACUGAAUGAUCAGUAGUAGAUUUUUAUAUUGGGUGAUGCUAUGUAAUAUGUUCUUCUGGCAAUAUGGUUUGAUGGUACACAAUUCACAAGAUUUCAGCUGAACUUAGCCAGUCAUGUUUAACAAAUGCUGGAGUCCUAGGCCUUGAGGUAAACAAUAUUAUCCCACUUUUAAUAGUGUUUAGAUAUUUUCAGUGACAGUACAUGUAAAAUAUUAAAACAAAUUAAAGGUGAGAGGGUUAAGGAACACAUUUUCAUCAUGUACGUUGAUCUCAUGGUUGCAGUUAAGCUUACACGGAUGUCCUCAGUGCUAGACAUCUUUUGCUGUUGUGAAGUGUACAUUUAUUUCUACCAAGUGUUCUUUUUACAUGUACAAAUAAACCAUCAGACUUUACAUUGUAAAAAAAGCAACUUACGACCUAUUGAAGCAAUUAUUUAGUAAUUAGGUGUCAAGGUCAUGUGUUCAAGGUCAUUUGUGAAGUCAAAGGUCAUAGACAUAGGAAAGCAAUAUAGUACAAUUACUUUUGACUUGUCUUGAUUGCGAGUUGAUAAUUAUAUAAUUCUUACAUGUACUUUGUGAUUAUAUUUAAAUCAUUAAGUGAUUGUUGAUAUGAUGACAAUUCCACACCAUGGAUAUAGUAACUCAAUGUGCUUCAGUCUUUCCAUUUAUAUAAAUUUGGUUUUUGUAAAUUUUAGGAGAUUUCAUUUUCAUUCUUCUUGGGUGUUUUCAUCUGUGAAUCUCUGAGAGAUGUUGUACUUUGUACACCAAACUGCCAUUCAGAGAAUGCUUAUAGUCAUGGCAAACUCCAGGUAAUUCUCUCAAACUGAUACAAAGUUACAAAAUGCUGAAACAAAACAUGAACAAAAUAUCUCAAAAUCAAGAUUACAUAUAAGGAUAUAUCCGGUAACUUACACAACUGUAAAAUAUCUACUGCUGUAGAAUAGAAAGAGAUAAAAACAUUUUUGACAGCUCAUAUGGAUAUAAUAUUACGCUAUGUGAAAUCUGCCAAAGUUUUAUGGAAUCUAUAAGAGGGUUAGCUUGGCACUACCUGAUUGGUUUGUAUGAGUUUGAGGGAAUUGCUGAAGACUUGUCGGCCCCCUCUCCAUACCGUUGCUUCCCCCAUUGUCUAUGCCAGUCACGUUUUUAUCCGUUGUUUUCAAUUUACAUGUAACCAACUGUGAAACAGAUUCGCGCGAAACAAUAAAUAUUAUUGUCAUGAUUUA
Pecten maximus is the source of this 4206-nucleotide long non-coding RNA. RefSeq lists it as uncharacterized. NCBI's taxonomy places the organism in Eukaryota, Metazoa, Mollusca, Bivalvia, Pectinida, Pectinidae. The transcript has 2 exons. The record is from RefSeq and is a predicted model, not a curated record.